This 476-nucleotide ribosomal RNA is filed under the name uncultured bacterium. RNAcentral describes it as "partial 16S ribosomal RNA". It matches the Rfam family "Bacterial small subunit ribosomal RNA", at positions 28 to 523 of the family's 1533-position model. The record is from RNAcentral.
GACGAACGCUGGCGGCGUGCCUAACACAUGCAAGUCGAGCGAUGAAGCCCUUCGGGGUGGAUUAGCGGCGGACGGGUGAGUAACACGUGGGUAACCUGCCUCAAAGAGGGGGACAGCCUCCCGAAAGGGAGAUUAAUACCGCAUAAUAUCAUGUUUUCGCAUGAAGAUAUGAUUAAAGGAGCAAUCCGCUUUGAGAUGGACCCGCGGCGCAUUAGCUAGUUGGUGAGGUAACGGCUCACCAAGGCCACGAUGCGUAGCCGACCUGAGAGGGUGAUCGGCCACAUUGGAACUGAGACACGGUCCAGACUCCUACGGGAGGCAGCAGUGGGGAAUAUUGCACAAUGGGCGAAAGCCUGAUGCAGCAACGCCGCGUGAGUGAUGACGGCCUUCGGGUUGUAAAACUCUGUCUUUGGGGACGAUAAUGACGGUACCCAAGGAGGAAGCCACGGCUAACUACGUGCCAGCCGCCGCCGUAA